This is an RNA transcript of Cervus elaphus (red deer), 7190 nucleotides long. It is a transcript of the gene named cytochrome b-c1 complex subunit 7-like, with no coding region annotated. The transcript has a single exon. The record is from RefSeq and is a predicted model, not a curated record. NCBI's taxonomy places the organism in Eukaryota, Metazoa, Chordata, Mammalia, Artiodactyla, Cervidae.
GUGGGCUUGCGCGUGCGUGUGGCCUGUGCGCGCUCUGUCGUGUCCAACUCUUUGCGACCCCAUGGACUGUAGCCUGCAGUACUUAAUAGAGGCCUUUACUGAGAUGAGAAGUGUAUGUAGUGGUGUUAUGGUUGGCUGUAGAAGCUAUGGGACCUGUGUUGCAUAAAACACCUAGAAGCAAAUGGAUCCUCUUAAGAGGAAAGCCUAACUAGAUACAGUUUCAGAUAAAACGGGCAGGAACUAGGAAAUCAAUAGUCAAGAGAUCAUUUUCUGUAGAGGACAAGACAGCAAAGGUCCCAUGGCUGUUCCUGCAUUUGGCCAGGCAAUGAAUGAAUUCCAACUCCUUCUCUGACUCGCUGUUGUCCUUGAGCCAUUAGAACCAAUAGAAGAGGAUGAUGGAUAAGAACUUUUGAUUCAGGCUGCGGAUCAUUGAACUUCUCAGCCCCUCGGUUCCUGGACUGUACAAUGUGUAUAAUGGUAGUACCUGCCUGUUGUGAGGAUGAAAAGAGUAUGUGUAAAGAAGUUGCCAUGGUGCUUAGCACACUAGUGCCUUGUGUCAGUAUCAGAAUGGCUUUGCACUCUGCAUCGCUCAUUAUUCCCUUGCUUUCAGUUCUCCAGCGAUCAAAGGGCUUUGAAAAUGGGAUGCUCAUUUCACUGCAUCUUAAAACACUCCAUUUCAAUGCUUCUAAUCAAUAAUUCUUGUUUCAGCUUGAACAGAGAGGACACAGGCAGGCUGGAAGGAAUGUUUGAUGGGUCAAAGUGGUGUUAGUGGUAGAAGUUGGUAGAGCUCCCCUCCCCCUGCUAAGAAAGAGUAUAUGUGGUCCUGUGAAGGAGAGCCUCUUAGGCACUCCUGUCCUGGUGAUUGAUGUUAAACACAGAAGAUAAAUUUUACGAAGGACACAUUGUUACUCACCUUCUCUUUUGGGCUUAGUUUUUGUUAACAGUACCCUUCCUGGACCAGUUGGCUAAAGGUAGUGCUUUCAUUCUUUUCAAAGCUUUAUGUUAAAAAGUGGUUUAAAUAGCUUCAAUUUUUAAAGUGAUUUUUGAAAAUGGUCUAUCUGGAAGAUUGGACAGACGGACACAGAGCUUUUUUUAUGACAACAACUUAAGGACUGGGUCAGACCACUGAAGAGAGAAUUUCAGAUUGAGAGGUGUUCCUAACUUACAAAACUGAAACUUGAAGAUCGCUAAUUUAAGGUGGUUUCUUGGUAGUUGUCAGACAUAGCUGUGAGUUAAGCUAGCAGUCACAGUUUUUCUUGGCAGCAGAGAUAAAAGUUUAGUGACAAAAUCGUGAGCCACUGCAAAAAAAAAUAUGGAGACUUGGCUCUACAUUCAGAGUCUCAAAGGUUCAGACAGGCUGUAGUUAGUUAAUUGGCCCUGUUGCACCAGCACUUACCUUGGAAAAAGCAGUCAUCUCUCUUUUUCUACUGGUUUGUUUUUCCCAAGGUGUGUGGGCCCUUCAAAAUGUUGGAAUGCAGCUACUUUGCUGGAUGUAAUGGUUGACUCUAGGUCUUGUGACCCACUGGGGUUUUGUUUGUCUUUUGUCCUUAUCAAAGGAAAAGAGGGAGCGAGAAGAAGCCAGUCCUCCUUUCUCCUUUCUGGAUGGCACCCAGCAAGCAAAGGGACUUAGAGUUGCAACCUGUAGGUUCUUAAUUGGUAACUUUAUUAAAUCAUAGGAAAAACCAACUUACAAAAAUCCCAGCCUUUUCCCUCUUUAGAAUUGGCAAAUAUUUCUGAGACCAGGAUUCUAAAAGUGUAUUUUGUGCUCACAUUGCCCCCCGCCCCCCCCCCCCAGGGUGUCAAUAACAGGAGUGUACUCUCUGGCUUUCUGCUUUCAUAUAUAGACGAGGCUAAGGUACUACAAUGCCCUGUUCACAUUGCUUCUUGCUCAUUGUACAAAUAUGCCUCACGAAUUAUAGGCUUUGGUGCAGAUAGAGAGGUUGUUUUUAUCUCUUAUCCAUGGGAGUGCCCCUUAAUGUCAUCUAUGUUUUUUUUCCACUUUCCUUACCAUAUAAGGGCAGAAGUUUAACUUGGCUUUAGUGGCUUGGUGUUACACAGUAAAGGGUGAAACCUUCUCUGGACAACUACAGUUUGCAUGAAAUAAAAAGACCUGACCUGUGAUCAUCCCAUGCUGGUCAGGAGGACUUGGAAAAUACAUUCCAGAGGAUUUGUUCUUAGAAUAUAUUAUUCUCCUACCAUUAUUUCUUCUUAACAGUCUUAACAGGAAUACUGGUUUUUAAAGUAAAAAUCAUUGCUAUUUUUAAAUUGUCUCUAGGUAUAUUGACUGUAACAUCUGGAUUUUGUGAAAAUCUAGGCCCUAUAAAAGUUUUCUUUCAGAUUUGACUGGGAGAAAUAUUUUUGCUGUAUUGUGUGACCCUGCCUUUGAUGGCUUUGUAGCAUCUUGUAGAGGUGCAUAGGAAUGGUGUACACCUGCCCUUAUUUUGUGUAUAGGUAGCUGGUACCUUGUGGAAGAGGGCUUCCAGGUGGCUCAGUGGUGAAGGAUGCACCUGCCAACACAGGAGACAAAAGAGGGUUGGGUUUGAUCCCUGGGUCGAGAAGAUUCCCUGGAGCAGGAAAUGGCAACCCACUCCAGUAUUCUUGCUUGGAGAAUGCCAUGGACAGAGGAGCCUGGCAUGCUAUAGCCCAUGGGGUCGCAAAGAAUCGGACAUGACUGAACAGCCAGCACACACCUUGAGGAAGGGGAUGGGGCAAGGCACAUACAGCUCCAAGGCACCUCACACGUGCAGGGCACCUGGUGGCUGCUUAACAACAAUUCUCUAGGAUGACAGUUGGUAGCCUUUACUAAUGUAGCAGUCUCUUUUCUGAGUAGCUCAUAACAUGUUGAGACACAAUAGCAUUUUUGAAAUAAAAGAAACUAACAUCCCAAACAAAGACUUUGCCAGCAGUGUCAACACGUGGGCUGUUGUUAGAAGGUAACCUAGGACACUGAGGGUGAUUUUCAUGCCUGGAAAUAAUUUGUGUCUGGGGUUGUGACCCUUCCCAAACACCUUGUUGUUUAUAUCUGCUUUUUAAAUAACAAAUGGUCCGGUGACUGAGGUUUGUACUGAGGCAACAGCCAAUGAAGUCUUAAGUAGACUGCCCAGGUAUUGUGAUGAAAACAACCUUAGAAAAUACCUGAAGAAGCCUCAGAACUCAGAGAAUGCAUACCAGAAAUAAAAGCUAGUGAAGGUGAGAGAUGUGGGCCUUUUGAACACAGCAUAAUAAAAAAAAAAAAAAAGUGAAAAGAGUGCCCUUAAUUGAUGAAACAGAAUGUAUCUUCUGUUCUAAGGAGCCAAAUUAAAUUGUGAUCAGACCAGUAUUGUAAGGCCUGAGAAGCCUGUAAGAGUCCAGGUUUUUCCCUGGGGAAGCUUUUGUAGGGAUACAUACUCCCCAGAUACUGCUUUCAAAUUCAGGUCAUAACCUACAAGCACCUUUGCCCAUCUUGCUGUGAAACCUCCCGGGGCAGCAGGUGUUGGCUUCUGGGGUUGAAAGCAAAUGCUCCGUGUCCUUGUGUGAGCUGUUCCCCUCCUGGUGUUACUUGAUGUUUUUUUAAUUUUUUACCACGCCUUUUUUUUCAAAAAGCAUUGAGAGGACUUGCUCAGCAGAUGAUAAUGAGUACAGUUCUAGUCCUGGAUAGGUUUUGUCCCGAAGGCUUUUCUUUCAGUCCGGGGUUUGAAUUGGGGGUGACUGUAGAGAACCUGCUGCGCUGAUGUCAGAAGGUGGAAAGACCCCACAGGUGAGAACCAACAAUCCCAGGGCUUCCCUGAGGCUCCAGGAGGCCUUGAGAAGUGAGACAGGUGAGCCUGUACUGGAGGAGCAGGGAACUAGGAUGCUCGUCCUGCCUCCCACUGAUGGCUGUGUGACCCAAGCAUGCUUCAACCCUCAGGGUCAGAGGUCCUUGCCUCUUCCUAUUUUCUCAACAAAGAGCUCCAUGAGUGGUUCCUGUAGGCUUUGCCAGUGUCUUUGGGUGGGGUGGUGGGUGGUUGCUUUUUUAUAGUGCAGAUUCCCACCUCCCUCUCUUGACCUCUUGGAUCAAAAUCUCUAGGGAUGGGGCCUGGAAAUGUGUACUUUUAACGUGCCUUCAGGUGAACUCAGACAGCCAGUUGUGGGAACUAGGGACCCUUUGAGCUAAACAUCUGAGACCCCGUUUUUGUGGACCACUCACAGGUCUGUUCUCUGGGUUGACCCAGUCCUGGCUCCUGGAACUGGUCUCCAUUCCUGGCCGUUGUUUGGGUGCCCUUUAUGGGGCCUGUUGACUGGUAUUCCUACAGGACACAACCCCUAAUGUAGAUUCUACAAAAUGCUCCAACGGGGAAAGAAGUUCCAUUUAUAAAACAGCAUCCAGAGCUAAAGAAAGAGCAGAGUGGGGGCUGGAAGAGCAAAGACUUGGAUCAAUGGGGGUUCCUCUCUGGGAGGAAGAUCUUUUGUGCAGAGGCAGGAAUGAACAUAGAGUGCUGUCUCUGACGCCCCAGGUACAUGGGAGCCUGGGGACCCAGAGUGGCCUGUUACCUGAAAGGUCCUUUCCCUGGAGCAUAAACAGUCUCCUUUCUGUGAGUACAAAGUCCUUGAGGUCAGGGCCCAGAUUGAAAACAGAGCUGGAAACUUCUAGUGUGGUGGCUACAGAAAUUGUUUUGAAAAUCUUGUUGACAUUUCUCUGGCCACAGCAUCUAUAACAAGCAUAUUUAAGAAAGAGGGAGAAAAUACUUUUGAGUACAUGACCUAGACACUCUACUGAGUUUUUUUUUCUUGGUGGUAUUUUAGAGGGUGGGUUUGUUUUGCUCUUCAUUUUAUUUUUCAGCUUUCAGAGUUGCUUGCUUGUCCUCCCACCCCAGUUCAUAAAAGGAAUAGAAUUUUCCUUCUAUCUCAGGUCAACAUGGCGAGCAGGCCAGCCAUUUCAGCAUCAAGCAGGUGGAGCUGGAGGGUAUUCAAAAAUGGUAUAUAAGGCUGCUGGAUUCAAUAAACUGGGCUUAAUGCCAGAUGAUACAAUAUAUGAGAAUGACGAUGUGAAAGAGCCAUAAGAAGGCUUCCUGAGAACCUUUAUAGUAACAGAGUGUUUCACAUUAAGAGAGUGCUGGACCUGAGCAUGAGGCAGCAGAUCCUGCCUAAAGAGCAGUGGACAAAAUAUGAGGCAGAUAAAUUCUACCUUGAACGAUAUCUGGAAGAGGUUAUUUAGGAAAGAAAAGAGAGAGAGAAAUGGGCAAAGAAAUAAUUUAGUAGUCUAAAUCUGUGGAUACAGCUGUUCUCAAGUAUUUUUAUGAAGUUGGUUAAACCUGAAAUGUACAAUGUAGAACUAUUUGGGCUGUAAAUGUAUUGCUUUAAAUAAAUAUUAUAAUUAUUGUUGGGGUGGGGGGGAAGGAAUAGAAUUUUCCUGGAACUGGAAAAUGCAGAAAUCUGACCUGACCCAAAGAUAUGCCCUUAAUGUAUACCUUCUUCCAAUUUUUUGUUUUUGUUUUUUAAUACAGGGCUAAAAACUUUUAAAAGUUCCCGUACUUAAGAAAUGUGUUAUCCAUAUUACCCUCAUCCCUCCCCCACCCCCCAAAAAAAACCAACGUUCACUGGCCAUUGAGACCUGGUGGGGCCCAUUAUUCACUGUGCAUCUAUAAUGAUUGACUUUGUGGGUGGGUACAGUUGUAAACUGACCUUGGAUUCAUUUCACAUUUACCCCUACUCCCUGCCUCCGUCAGCCAGUUGUUACUACAUAGUUAAUUUUUGACGAGAUAAAAGUGUAUUUGAAUGUUUUUAUAGAGUCCUUCACCAUGGUUGGAGAUGCCCUAAUCACCUCUCUUUCCCAGAGAGAACUUGACUUUUAAAAUUUUACAAAUCUAGAUGAGCAGAGAGCAGAGUGUUCUCGUGUUCCUUUAGUUCAAGGCUGUGAUCGAAGACUCUCGCUACUUGUACAUGUCAAGCCCAUGUACCGUGGGUCCAGUACUCAGAAAGUUGCUUUUGUGUAAGUUGGUUUUGCUUAUUUUGUUCAGUAGACAUUUAUUAUACUCCGUAUAGAGAAUCAUGAUUCCUUGCACAUAAGAAGGAAUGUGAAUAAGGAAGACAGCACUGUAGGUAGAGAGCUAGCAUCAUCCCUAAGUGCAGGUUGUAAUUUUUAGAAAACUCCCAAGUGUCCUGAAAAACCCAUCAUUGCAGGAUAAGCACACAUUCAAAGUAGAUGAGGAAACGCUGCCAGAUUAGCAAAUUCCAUCUUUCACUUCCAUGCGUAAUAUUUAAACAGCCACCAAUGCAAGUGUAUGUAAUGGACCCAGCCAGUCUUGCAAGUGUCCUGAGGCUCAUAGUAACAAAUGCUUUUAACUAUAGGUAAACAUCACAUCCCCAAAAAAAGAGCAUAUUUCAGAGAUAGAUACCAAGUAAAAACAGUAUCUGUACUGCUUUUCUUCUAAGGAGUUUGAAACUCUUCUUGUAGCAACCCUGACUUGUGAGAAAUGCCUGUAGGCUUAGGUCACAGACGCUUGGGAAAUUUGUUUUGGCGCUAUUCCAGUGUGACCUGUUAUCCUCAAGAGGUGCCGAAGGGCACGGGGGCUUACUGGGUUUUGUUGUGUCUCUGUAUAGUUUUAUAUUUUAGAACCACUGAACUUAAAAAUCUUUUAGUUCCUAAAAUAUUUAAUAACGCCCCUUUGAGAAUGUGAUCAGAAGAAAGGAGAAUUGAGACUCCUGAGUCCCAAGUUCUCGCUGAGCUCCUCUCAUCUUGUGUGAGGGAGCCUGGGUCAGUCCUGUCGCCUCUAUCCACACCUCAGCCCCCACCAUGUGAGGUGGCUGUGAUGACGCUCCCCUCUGAGAGUCAGGUAAAGCCAGCAUGUUGAAAUCUGUGUUAGAAAGGAACCAAAUGAGAAAGUGUUGCUGACGGUCCCUCUGUCCCACGAGGAUGAUGCGUGUGGAUUUGCAUAUACCCCAAGGUGAACACCCACUGGAUAAAUCAAUGGAUGAACAUAUCCAACAACCCCAGAGUUGACCACGGCUUGUAGCACACUUUAGGGUAGCUCACCACAAAGCCAGGCUUCCUUGUUGAACCAGCAUUUCAGUCCAGCCCCUCUUGAAUGCACUACCCUCACGUCCUCUUCAACACUUAAACACCUCUCAUUCUCUCUGCCCAGGCUGAAGCCGACGUAGCUUCUCUGAACAGACGCAUCCAGCUGGUUGAGGAAGAGUUGGAUCGUGCCCAGGAGCGUCUGGCAACAGCUCUA